GGUCAAGUGAAGAAGCGCAUACGGUGGAUGCCUUGGCAGUCAGAGGCGAUGAAAGACGUGGUAGCCUGCGAAAAGCUUCGGGAGUCGGCAAACAGACUUUGAUCCGGAGAUCUCUGAAUGGGGGAACCCACCUAGGAUAACCUAGGUAUCUUGUACUGAAUCCAUAGGUGCAAGAGGCGAACCAGGGGAACUGAAACAUCUAAGUACCCUGAGGAAAAGAAAUCAACCGAGAUUCCCUUAGUAGUGGCGAGCGAACGGGGAUUAGCCCUUAAGCUUCAUUGAUUUUAGCGGAACGCUCUGGAAAGUGCGGCCAUAGUGGGUGAUAGCCCCGUACGCGAAAGGAUCUUUGAAGUGAAAUCGAGUAGGACGGAGCACGAGAAACUUUGUCUGAACAUGGGGGGACCAUCCUCCAAGGCUAAAUACUACUGACUGACCGAUAGUGAACCAGUACCGUGAGGGAAAGGCGAAAAGAACCCCGGAGAGGGGAGUGAAAUAGAACCUGAAACCGUAUGCGUACAAGCAGUGGGAGCCUACUUGUUAGGUGACUGCGUACCUUUUGUAUAAUGGGUCAGCGACUUAUAUUCAGUGGCAAGCUUAACCGUAUAGGGUAGGCGUAGCGAAAGCGAGUCUUAAUAGGGCGUUUAGUCGCUGGGUAUAGACCCGAAACCGGGCGAUCUAUCCAUGAGCAGGUUGAAGGUUAGGUAACACUGACUGGAGGACCGAACCCACUCCCGUUGAAAAGGUAGGGGAUGACUUGUGGAUCGGAGUGAAAGGCUAAUCAAGCUCGGAGAUAGCUGGUUCUCCUCGAAAGCUAUUUAGGUAGCGCCUCAUGUAUCACUCUGGGGGGUAGAGCACUGUUUCGGCUAGGGGGUCAUCCCGACUUACCAAACCGAUGCAAACUCCGAAUACCCAGAAGUGCCGAGCAUGGGAGACACACGGCGGGUGCUAACGUCCGUCGUGAAAAGGAAACAACCCAGACCGCCAGCUAAGGUCCCAAAGUUGUGGUUAAGUGGUAAACGAUGUGGGAAGGCUUAGACAGCUAGGAGGUUGGCUUAGAAGCAGCCAUCCUUUAAAGAAAGCGUAAUAGCUCACUAGUCGAGUCGGCCUGCGCGGAAGAUGUAACGGGGCUCAAACCACACACCGAAGCUGCGGGUGUCACGUAAGUGACGCGGUAGAGGAGCGUUCUGUAAGCCUGUGAAGGUGAGUUGAGAAGCUUGCUGGAGGUAUCAGAAGUGCGAAUGCUGACAUGAGUAACGACAAUGGUGUGAAAACACCCACGCCGAAAGACCAAGGGUUCCUGCGCAACGUUAAUCGACGCAGGGUUAGUCGGUUCCUAAGGCGAGGCUGAAAAGCGUAGUCGAUGGGAAACAGGUUAAUAUUCCUGUACUUCUGGUUACUGCGAUGGAGGGACGGAGAAGGCUAGGCCAGCUUGGCGUUGGUUGUCCAAGUUUAAGGUGGUAGGCUGAAAUCUUAGGUAAAUCCGGGGUUUCAAGGCCGAGAGCUGAUGACGAGUCGUCUUUUAGAUGACGAAGUGGUUGAUGCCAUGCUUCCAAGAAAAGCUUCUAAGCUUCAGGUAACCAGGAACCGUACCCCAAACCGACACAGGUGGUCGGGUAGAGAAUACCAAGGCGCUUGAGAGAACUCGGGUGAAGGAACUAGGCAAAAUGGCACCGUAACUUCGGGAGAAGGUGCGCCGGCUAGGGUGAAGGAUUUACUCCGUAAGCUCUGGCUGGUCGAAGAUACCAGGCCGCUGCGACUGUUUAUUAAAAACACAGCACUCUGCAAACACGAAAGUGGACGUAUAGGGUGUGACGCCUGCCCGGUGCCGGAAGGUUAAUUGAUGGGGUUAGCGCAAGCGAAGCUCUUGAUCGAAGCCCCGGUAAACGGCGGCCGUAACUAUAACGGUCCUAAGGUAGCGAAAUUCCUUGUCGGGUAAGUUCCGACCUGCACGAAUGGCGUAACGAUGGCGGCGCUGUCUCCACCCGAGACUCAGUGAAAUUGAAAUCGCUGUGAAGAUGCAGUGUAUCCGCGGCUAGACGGAAAGACCCCGUGAACCUUUACUGUAGCUUUGCACUGGACUUUGAGCCUGCUUGUGUAGGAUAGGUGGGAGGCUUUGAAGCGUGGACGCCAGUUCGCGUGGAGCCAUCCUUGAAAUACCACCCUGGCAUGCUUGAGGUUCUAACUCUGGUCCGUGAUCCGGAUCGAGGACAGUGUAUGGUGGGCAGUUUGACUGGGGCGGUCUCCUCCUAAAGAGUAACGGAGGAGUACGAAGGUGCGCUCAGACCGGUCGGAAAUCGGUCGCAGAGUAUAAAGGCAAAAGCGCGCUUGACUGCGAGACAGACACGUCGAGCAGGUACGAAAGUAGGUCUUAGUGAUCCGGUGGUUCUGUAUGGAAGGGCCAUCGCUCAACGGAUAAAAGGUACUCCGGGGAUAACAGGCUGAUACCGCCCAAGAGUUCAUAUCGACGGCGGUGUUUGGCACCUCGAUGUCGGCUCAUCACAUCCUGGGGCUGAAGCCGGUCCCAAGGGUAUGGCUGUUCGCCAUUUAAAGUGGUACGCGAGCUGGGUUUAGAACGUCGUGAGACAGUUCGGUCCCUAUCUGCCGUGGACGUUUGAGAUUUGAGAGGGGCUGCUCCUAGUACGAGAGGACCGGAGUGGACGAACCUCUGGUGUUCCGGUUGUCACGCCAGUGGCAUUGCCGGGUAGCUAUGUUCGGAAAAGAUAACCGCUGAAAGCAUCUAAGCGGGAAACUUGCCUCAAGAUGAGAUCUCACUGGGAACUUGAUUCCCCUGAAGGGCCGUCGAAGACUACGACGUUGAUAGGCUGGGUGUGUAAGCGUUGUGAGGCGUUGAGCUAACCAGUACUAAUUGCCCGUGAGGCUUGACCAU
This 2887-nucleotide ribosomal RNA is filed under the name Pseudomonas aeruginosa. Its description in RNAcentral is "23S ribosomal RNA". It matches the Rfam family "Bacterial large subunit ribosomal RNA". The record is from RNAcentral. Lineage: Bacteria; Pseudomonadati; Pseudomonadota; Gammaproteobacteria; Pseudomonadales; Pseudomonadaceae.